Molecule: ribosomal RNA, 392 nt
Filed under: uncultured bacterium
Lineage: Bacteria
Description: bacterial SSU rRNA
Rfam family: Bacterial small subunit ribosomal RNA
Source: RNAcentral
AGUGAACGCUGGCGGCAGGCCUAACACAUGCAAGUCGAACGGCAGCACGGCAGUAGCAAUACUGUGGGUGGCGAGUGGCGGACGGGUGAGGAAUACAUCGGGAUCUACCCUGUUGUGGGGGAUAACGUAGGGAAACUUACGCUAAUACCGCAUAAGAACUGAGGUUGAAAGCGGCGGACCGCAAGGCGUCGCGCGAUUGGAUGAACCGAUGUCCGAUUAGCUAGUUGGCGGGGUAAAGGCCCACCAAGGCGACGAUCGGUAGCUGGUCUGAGAGGACGACCAGCCACACUGGAACUGAGACACGGUCCAGACUCCUACGGAGGCAGCAGUGGGGAAUAUUGGACAAUGGGCGCAAGCCUGAUCCAGCCAUGCCGCGUGGGUGAAGAAAGGCC